RNAcentral lists this transfer-messenger RNA (352 nucleotides) under Paracoccaceae bacterium. RNAcentral's name for it is "Rhodobacteraceae bacterium transfer-messenger RNA". It matches the Rfam family "Alphaproteobacteria transfer-messenger RNA". From Rfam's summary of the family: Bacterial tmRNA, also known as 10Sa RNA or SsrA, is named for its dual tRNA and mRNA-like properties. Its role is to liberate the mRNA from a stalled ribosome. The record is from RNAcentral. Lineage: Bacteria; Pseudomonadati; Pseudomonadota; Alphaproteobacteria; Rhodobacterales; Paracoccaceae.
UUAAUUGUCAUUUCCGUCUUCAGAUUAUAUACAGUAAGUGUCUUUUCGGAGAAUAUGGCGAUAAACGCGCUCGUAAUACACGGAUCGGACCCGGGGGCGGUACCCGGCGACUCCACCAAACAAACCUUCAUUUGAGGACUUUGGGGUCGAAAUAGGAUCGACGGACGUUUAAAGGGGUUAGCUUUUGCUCGGUGAGAUACCACCGUUAUCGGUUCAAAAAGUACAAUUGCAAAUGACAAUAGUGCUCCGAGAGCUUUGGCUGCUUAAGCAGCUCAAGUAAUCGAAAUUUAAGUCCAGCCGCCUUGCAGCGCCUGGCGGGGUUUGCAGGCACCUGGCAACAGAAGCCUGCGCU